This 395-nucleotide ribosomal RNA is filed under the name uncultured bacterium. Its description in RNAcentral is "bacterial SSU rRNA". It matches the Rfam family "Bacterial small subunit ribosomal RNA", at positions 355 to 767 of the family's 1533-position model. The record is from RNAcentral.
UCGGGAAUUUUGGGCAAUGGGCGAAAGCCUGACCCAGCAACGCCGCGUGAGGGAUGAAGUAUUUCGGUAUGUAAACCUCGAAAGAAUGGGAAGAAUAAAUGACGGUACCAUUUAUAAGCUCCGGCUAACUACGCGCCAGCAGCCGCGGUAAUACGUAGGGAGCAAGCGUUGUUCGGAUUUACUGGGCGUAAAGGGCGCGUAGGCGGCGCGGUAAGUCACUUGUGAAAUCUCUGAGCUUAACUCAGAACGGCCAAGUGAUACUGCUGUGCUAGAGUGCGGAAGAGGCAACCGGAAUUCUUGGUGUAGCGGUGAAAUGCGUAGAUAUCAAGAGGAACACCUGAGCCGAAGGCGGGUUGCUGGGCCGACACUGACGCUGAUGCGCGAAAGCCAGGGGA